GUGGGGAAUAUUGCACAAUGGGGGAAACCCUGAUGCAGCCAUGCCGCGUGUGUGAAGAAGGCCUUCGGGUUGUAAAGCACUUUCAGCGAGGAGGAAAGGUCAGUAGCUAAUAUCUGCUGGCUGUGACGUUACUCGCAGAAGAAGCACCGGCUAACUCCGUGCCAGCAGCCGCGGUAAUACGGAGGGUGCAAGCGUUAAUCGGAAUUACUGGGCGUAAAGCGCACGCAGGCGGUUGGAUAAGUUAGAUGUGAAAGCCCCGGGCUCAACCUGGGAAUUGCAUUUAAAACUGUCCAGCUAGAGUCUUGUAGAGGGGGGUAGAAUUCCAGGUGUAGCGGUGAAAUGCGUAGAGAUCUGGAGGAAUACCGGUGGCGAAGGCGGCCCCCUGGACAAAGACUGACGCUCAGGUGCGAAAGCGUGGGGAGCAAACAGGAUUAGAUACCCGGGUAGUCC
RNAcentral lists this ribosomal RNA (450 nucleotides) under uncultured bacterium. RNAcentral describes it as "partial 16S ribosomal RNA". It matches the Rfam family "Bacterial small subunit ribosomal RNA", at positions 354 to 796 of the family's 1533-position model. The record is from RNAcentral.